Molecule: long non-coding RNA, 416 nt
Organism: Strongylocentrotus purpuratus (purple sea urchin)
Lineage: Eukaryota; Metazoa; Echinodermata; Echinoidea; Camarodonta; Strongylocentrotidae
Exons: 3
Source: RefSeq, a predicted model, not a curated record
CGUUUAAAUAUAAUUACUAGACGGAAAGCAGCACGCGCGGAAACCAUGCAGACGAAUGUGAUUAGGCUCCGCCUCUUUUGGAUCAUUUGAAGACAAAAUAAGCACCCGAGGCGGCUUUUUGAUUGGAUAUGAGCCUCAUGAAUAUGUAUUUUAUCGAUAGUAUCGUUUAAGAAACCGGAUAAUAUAUUUGACCUCAUUGCGUCACUUUAAUUAUGCAGAUUUAUGCACGACGCAGGCUACUCACACAAACUGAGAAGAUUUAGUUCAUUGAGAAUGGAUGGAAACUGAUGAAGAGCUGGAAGGAGCUAACUGAUGAGUAGACAUUACAACAUUUCUUAUAUUUUCAAGAUGAAGCUGAAAGUCCCAUGCAGGAUGAUGCUUCUCUACAGUGGAUGAUGAAAGCAUGCUGAUUACAA